Limulus polyphemus (Atlantic horseshoe crab) is the source of this 984-nucleotide long non-coding RNA. RefSeq lists it as uncharacterized. Lineage: Eukaryota; Metazoa; Arthropoda; Merostomata; Xiphosura; Limulidae. The transcript is spliced from 4 exons. The record is from RefSeq and is a predicted model, not a curated record.
GACGUUACAGUGACAAUGUGUUAGGUAUACCUAUUUGUGUAUUACACAAGAAAAGGUAGGCGACGACGAUACGAAACGUUACAGUGAAAAUGUGUUAGGUAUACAAGAAAAGGUAGGCGGCGGCGAUGCGAGACGUUACAGUGAAAGUUUGGCAGUAAGCGAAGAAUGUUUUUGUGCGCGAUAAAGACAAACUGAAAAUUUCUGUUGUGUACUUCUGUCCACACUCUUUGAGAUUCUACUGUUAACCUCCAAAACAAUCAACAUCACGCUAUGUAUUGAAUCCCCUUCAACCAAAGACGUAACACGCAGUGUAUUGAAUCCCUUUCAACCAAAGACAUCGUUGGUAUUUGAAGCCUGAAUAAUACCGUAUGGGCUAAACGGCUAGGUCAAAGACUUCAAGAUUCAAACUUGUAAAUGUUUGUGAAUUUCAUCUGCUGACCAGAGGAAAUAUAUCGAAUCAGCAACACCCGCCGCCUCCGACAUGACUACUGGAUUGACUGUAAAUUUUAAACCACACUUAAGUGCAGAGUGUGUUCAGAAACAUAUCAAGGUUUGAACCGUGGGCCGUUUCCGUAGUCAGGGGGUCCAUCUUUUUUGCAUUACUUUUCGGGGACCCGCAAUAUGACGGGCCCGUAGGUGCGUUGCCACGAUUGCACCGACGUUAAAUACGCCACUGUUUUAGUAUAACACAAUUUGGAGGAAGAAAGAAGUCUCUACGGUUGCUAAGUUCUAGACAAAAUUUCAAAACAAAGCCACAUUGGGCUGUCUGCUGUACCUACCUCGGGAAAUCAAACCCUGGAUUCUAGUGUUGUAAGUUCGUAAACUUACCACUGACCCACCGGGAGACAGGCAAUACGAUGGCAAGAGCAGAUAAAUUAAGCCAUUUGAAACGACUGUGAGCUUGUGGUGGUGGCAGAAAGAUGUAGCAUGUUUAUUAUAUGUAGUGUGGUUUGUUUGAUAUAAUUAUAUUAAGAUAAUGAUCAU